ACCUCCUCGCGCUGCGCAAACCAACUCCCACACGCAACCUCCGUCCAUCCACAAUUCAUCCCCAAUCCCAUCCACUCCAGCAGUCCCGCUUGUUUUUGUCUACGUACAGUUGCUGCUAGAGUGGGGCAGGCGACGACGACGGAAGAGCAGGUGCUGGUCGAUGAACUCGUAGACGGGCAUGCCGAGGAGGCGACCAGGGCUCGGCGGCAGAGGCAGAAGCGGAGGCGGAGAGGGGGUCUUCUUCGGAGGGCGCUCGAUGGGACCCACGUGGGAGCGGAACACAGCGGAGACCACCGCGUCGUGCACGCACCAGUGGAACGCCGGCUGGCGCAUGGCCGCCGCCGCCGCCUCGCACUCUGGGCACGGAGACGGGCGCCGCCCCGGGGACCACGGCGCCGCCGGAUCCUCGUGCUCCGGGUGCCCGCCAGCCGCCAGAUGGAGCCGGGCCUCGUAGUCGUCGUAGCCCCACCCGUCGAGCGCGAGCGGCGGGGCCGCGGCAACGGCGUGGGGGAAGGGAAGCGGCGGAGGGGGAGUGCCGACCAGGGACGCCAGAUCCGUUGGCGGGAGGCGCUUCAGGAUGGUCUUCUCCGCUGGCGCGCCCGCGUCCUUGGCUCCCUUCCUGUCGCGACGGGACCGGCCGCCCCGUCGCUCGCGGCGGGAGCGGCGGAGCCCAGCGACGACGUAGCACCCGCUGCCCUCCCGCGCGACGGCGGCGGCGAGGUCGGUGGCGUCGUCGAGGGGCACGCGGCGCGCGCGGCGGGGCCGCGCCAGGGACGCCGAGAUCUGGUACGGCGCGACGCCCACGCGGUCCGCCACCACGGCCUGCAGCCGCUUCACACCGCUCAGCGACGGCUGCACGGCGACCGUGCCCAGGUCCACGCUCUGCUCGCCGUCGACGAAGACCACCUGCAGCACGGCGGGCGGCGGGGGCGAGGAAGCCGCCGCGAGCUCCCCCAUGUCCGACGCGCGCGCUCCUUCCGGCUUCAGAGGCGGCCGAGCGCCCUCGGGUGAGUCGGGAUCCGGCUGCGACUCGUUCGCUGAUGGGCGGCCACAAGCAUCGAAUCGAAACGGCCACCCGGACCGGGCCUCCGUGUGUGUGUGUAGGGGGGUUGUUUGUUUGGGUUGUCGUGAAUUGGGAGGAUACAGGAGGGGUGGAGCCAGGAAGGGGCAGGGCGGGGGUGUUUUAUAGAUAGAGAUGAGGGGAGUUAAAGGCGGUUGGAUUGGGCGACCGGCGUAUAUCUAGUGGUAAUUCGCAUGAGGCCGAGGGAGAGACGAGAGACAGAAGCGGAGGGAACCGGCCCGGUCAUCUUUCCUUGGCAACCAAGGCAGUGAAGGGAACCUCAACCUGCAGCGUGGGCCCAGCUGUCUAAACACUAAGGCCAUGUUCCAAUCUCGUGAGAUAAACUUUAGCAGCUUUUUUUAGCUACUUUUAGCCAUUUGUAAUCUAAACAAGAGAGCUAAUGGUGGUAAUUGAAACUAAACUUUAGCACUUCAACUCAUAUAGCUAAAGUUUAGCAGGAAGCUAAAG
This 1528-nucleotide unclassified non-coding RNA is filed under the name Zea mays. RNAcentral describes it as "misc RNA Zm00001eb065600". The record is from RNAcentral. Lineage: Eukaryota; Viridiplantae; Streptophyta; Magnoliopsida; Poales; Poaceae.